AACACAUCAGAGCAAUUUCCCAAAGGAAGCACUUGCGCACUGGAUUCUGUGCUGGAUCUCACUGUUGAUUUUUUUUAUUGGCUCGCUCUGUUUCUGCUUGCUGUCGGAGCUGGAGGGGCUCAGAGUCAGGACACCGGAAUAUGCCCCCUGCACCUGCUCAUCGGCCUGGACAUCACUGAUUGCCAACAGUCCAGCCUGCACCAGUACCUGGAGGGCAUCAUCUGGGAGCUGUUCUCCCUGACCAGGAUCAGCUGCGCCCAGCUCAACGUUACCCUGAGCAUCCAGAGCGUGGACCAGGGCGGCGAGGUCCUCUUCCGAGCCCACCUCGCCAAGUACCAGCACGACGUCUUGCAGCAGCUGCGCGUGGUGCAUGCCUUCAGGCGCACCUACCUGAACCAGCCCUCCCUGCACAGACUGCUGGAGAUGAACCGAGGCCUGCCAGAGAGUAACAAGGUGGUGCUCCUGUUUACAGAUGGGUUGGACGAUGAUGUGAGGAAGCUGGAAGAGAUGUCAGCCGCUCUGCGGGUGCAAGG
Gopherus evgoodei (Goodes thornscrub tortoise) is the source of this 533-nucleotide long non-coding RNA. RefSeq lists it as uncharacterized. The transcript is spliced from 3 exons. Lineage: Eukaryota; Metazoa; Chordata; Testudines; Testudinidae. The record is from RefSeq and is a predicted model, not a curated record.